Molecule: ribosomal RNA, 577 nt
Filed under: uncultured bacterium
Lineage: Bacteria
Description: bacterial SSU rRNA
Rfam family: Bacterial small subunit ribosomal RNA
Source: RNAcentral
CCUACGGGAGGCAGCAGUAAGGAAUAUUGGUCAAUGGACGAAAGUCUGAACCAGCCAUGCCGCGUGAAGGAUGAAGGUCCUCUGGAUUGUAAACUUCUUUUAUAUGGGACGAAAAAAGGGAAUUCUUUCUCACUUGACGGUACCAUAGGAAUAAGCACCGGCUAACUCCGUGCCAGCAGCCGCGGUAAUACGGAGGGUGCAAGCGUUAUCCGGAUUCACUGGGUUUAAAGGGUGCGUAGGUGGGUAGGUAAGUCAGUGGUGAAAUCUCCGAGCUUAACUCGGAAACUGCCAUUGAUACUAUUUAUCUUGAAUAUCCUGGAGGUGAGCGGAAUAUGUCAUGUAGCGGUGAAAUGCUUAGAUAUGACAUAGAACACCAAUUGCGAAGGCAGCUCACUACGGGAUUAUUGACACUGAGGCACGAAAGCGUGGGGAUCAAACAGGAUUAGAUACCCUGGUAGUCCACGCCCUAAACGAUGGAUACUCGACAUACGCGAUAUACUGUGUGUGUCUGAGCGAAAGCAUUAAGUAUCCCACCUGGAAGUACGACCGCAAGGUUGAAACUCAAAGGAAUUGACGG